GGGGGGGGCAAGCGUUGUUCGGAAUUACUGGGCGUAAAGGGCUCGUAGGUGGCCAACUAAGUCGGACGUGAAAUCCCUCGGCUUAACCGGGGAACUGCGUCCGAUACUGGAUGGCUUGAGUUUGGGAGAGGGAUGCGGAAUUCCAGGUGUAGCGGUGAAAUGCGUAGAUAUCUGGAGGAACACCGGUGGCGAAGGCGGCAUCCUGGACCAACACUGACGCUGAGGAGCGAAAGCCAGGGGAGCAAACGGGAUUAGAUACCCCGGUAGUCCUGGCCCUAAACGAUGAAUGCUUGGUGUGGCGGGUAUCGAUCCCUGCCGUGCCGAAGCUAACGCAUUAAGCAUUCCGCCUGGGGAGUACGGUCGCAAGGCUG
This 371-nucleotide ribosomal RNA is filed under the name uncultured bacterium. Its description in RNAcentral is "bacterial SSU rRNA". It matches the Rfam family "Bacterial small subunit ribosomal RNA", at positions 527 to 896 of the family's 1533-position model. The record is from RNAcentral.